Dromaius novaehollandiae (emu) is the source of this 4521-nucleotide long non-coding RNA. RefSeq lists it as uncharacterized. The record is from RefSeq and is a predicted model, not a curated record. The transcript is spliced from 3 exons. NCBI's taxonomy places the organism in Eukaryota, Metazoa, Chordata, Aves, Casuariiformes, Dromaiidae.
GCUUCACCGCUUGGCGCUUCUCCCCUCCCCCUCCUUUGAACUGAAUUCGCGGGAAAGGGCCGCUCGCCCUCCGGCGCGGGGCAUGCUGGGUAGGGCCGCCCGCCCGCCGCCCGCCCGCCCCUGCGCGCCCGCCCGCGCCGCGCUCCGCGGGGCCCCGCGCCCGCCGCGGGCCGCCCCCGUCUGCCCCGGCGCCUGCGGGGAGCCGGCGUCCCGCUCGCCCGAGGGGGGCGUCGUUGAAGGAGCCGCAGCCGCGUCUCGGUUGUAAAUCGGGCUCGGUUCUGUGGUAAAAACGGCCGCGCUGGGUCGGACCCGGCCCGCGAGGCUUCCUCAGAGGACGGGACGGGACGGGACGGGGGUGCGCGCGGGGGCGGGGCGGCCCGAAGCCUGAGCGGACUUUCCGGUGAUGCUUCUGUUGCACUGGGUGUUUGCCAGUCUUCUGAAGACUUGCAGACUAGAAAGCAACAGCAUGUAAAAUGAAGAGUAUCUUCAAGCAGUCAAAGCUUGAUCUUGAGGGAACUAAGAAAAUGAACUUCACUGUAAAGGGAACAGCGUUACUGAAGCACGGCAAAGGGAAGAGCGAAGAUCUUACGUAGCAGGGCAAGUGCUGUGGUGCAUGGCUAUGAAUACAGCAUGUGUGGGAGAUUGACAGAGCAGCCACUUGUGAUUCUCAUUCAUGUAUUUGGCUGGGGACUGCUUUUGUGCAGAGCUGUUCAAAUGUAUUUCAGGAACAGUACUCAAGGAACCUGGCCCUCAGGGAAUCUUAAUGCCCCCAUAAUGCACCACUUUUGGUGAGCAGGUUGCUUACAUGUCUGACUUACUGUAGGGAGUGAAAAGUGAAUGCACAGAGUGUUUUGCAUUGCUGAAUCACUUUUCUUCUGAAUUCAUAUGGUGAAUAGUAAGUGAUAAUUAUUACUCAGUCAUUAUUGCUCAGUAGAAAUCUGUGCCACUGCUCUGGAGUUGUUUCUUGGAGUUCUCUUAGUGGUAUUUUGAUACAUCUUUCCUGACUUUUCUACAGUAAAAUGUGUUUCCUGAUCUUCAGUUAAUGAUUUAUUUCUGCACGGUGGUUUUUAUUGGUAUAGUUUAUCUUUAGCGUUUAGAUAGUGGACUAAAAAUAUCAAAAUUGUUUCAAAAGCAUUAUGAAAAGCUCAAGCCCAAUAUAUUAAUUUGCUCUAGAAAAGUAACAUAUCUGUUAAGAUGAUUCAUCUGUAAGCCCAGAUGUCUACUAACAGUAACAGCAUUCAUCACAGAAAAAUACACAGUGAAUUAAAAAAAAAAAGGUUUAUAAUGUAAACAUGUUCAGUCCAGGAUAACAUUCACUUAGUUUUGAAGAAAAGUCUGAAACAAGAUUUUUAUUCAUAUAAGCUCUUAUCAAAAUCAGAAGUAGGUGUCCUGUAAAAGGAGAAUGAGGUAGUGUUAUUCAACUCUGUUAAAACCCGAAUAAACUCCAUGUGCCACCGAAGACCCCAUAGGCAGGAAGGGGACUUGGGGGGGCUCUGUGCUGAAGGUGGAAUGCCAUUGCUCACUUCAGCUCCCACAGCACUUGGAACAGACCUUAAGCUGCCCUGUCUAUGUUAAACUGUCUUGGAGCCCUUCAUUUCGAGUUUCUUAAUCAAAAUUGUAAUUGUUUGAACAAGCUGCUUGAGGUGAGGUGGAUAAAAAUUCUCAUCCCUUUAGCCUUGGAGCAAUUGCGGAUUUUUGUCAUGGCUUAACCAAGGUGUUGCUUUUCUUAACUUGAACUCCAGAAAAGAAAAAUGUUUGCUUUUAGGGUCUUAAUCUAGAGAUUUUUGCCUUUUUUACAGAUCUAUAGAUCUGUAUAUGCUAAAUUCAGGGAAAAAAGAUUAUAAAGUUUAAUGUAUGACUCCCCCCAAAAUACACAGCAAAAUCUCAUGCCAAAUCAUGAUGUAUAAACGUUAUUUAACACAGGAAAAAAGGAAUAGGGAUCAUGCUAGUUCAUACUGUAAUUUUAAAGAUCCACCAUGUGUGGUACUUACUACAAAACUAUCCUAAAAUAACUCUAAGUGAGCUUUCAGGAACUGUAUUCUCUUAAUCAAGUCAUGAAAACAGUGAAGAUACGGCAACUGAAAAAAUGAGGCUUUUGAUGCAAACUUAAUGAUUAAACUCAGAAGUGCAGAGAUCAAAGAGAAACCGCUGGGAAGAUGUGAGGAUUAAGUCAGUUACACAUGUGAACAGAAGUUUCUCACCUUAAGGUCUGUUGACAGUGCAGGAACGAAAGCUUCAAUCAAUCAAAAAAAAAAGGAGGAUCAAAGAACAUGUCAAUAGAUAGUAAAAAUGAAACCUCUAAUUAGUCAAAAGAUAAAUUAAUUUUAGCUUUAAGUAAAGGAUAAGAUUUGAUACUCAGGGAUCAAAAUUCUUUCUUUUGUGGCUGAGCAGUGUACAGGCUAGUAAGAGGAGAAUUUUUUAAUUUUAUUAUCAGCAGUGACUUAAAUGAGAAGAUCAGGGCAGAAACUAUUCUCCUAAUGUUUCCCAGCUUGCCAGCUGUACAAAAUUCACACACAUGAAAGCUUAUCCAAACAUUUCCUGAGAAAGUUAACAUUUUCUGAGGUUUUGUGUGCUAGCGGUUGCUUCAGAAGGCAUUUACAAGUAUUUAGUUUGUUUUCUAAGUGCUGUUUGGGGUGUAUGAUUCUGCACACUAUAAUCUAAAUUAUCCAUACUUCCAGAAGUAGUUUUACUGGGUUUCCACAUGCCUGUUGCCGUGACUGGUCAAAGUACUUUACCAAACAAAGCAAAGCUCCGUGGCAGGAGGUGAGAAACAGCAGGAGGAAAUUGUGACCGAGAAUUAUAAAAUACCACUCCUUUUCCCACCUUUUGGGAGGAGAAAUAAAUCUGUAUCUGAUGCAGUUUAUGCUCUUUGGCAUUCCAGUUUAAUUGACGCUGGUACUGACAUCUUUGUAUUUAAACAAUGCAAGGCUUCGCUCUGAGGAAGUUCUUAUCUCCACCUGUAUUGUUACUUAGGUUAUGGCUAGGCAACCCAAGGCCAGGCCACAGUUUUACUCAUUCUCAGCACCUAGACAGAUUAGUGAGAUAAAUUAAGAUUAGCAAGACUCUGUUCUACAGAGCUCUGGCAACACUCCUAAAUGAAAAUGUAUGUGCAAGAAAUAAUAUUAAAUUAAAGGUCACUAAGCAAUGCGUUCCAUGGUGUUGACAAUUUGGGAGUGUGUAGGAGAUGACUGAUCUAGUUUUAAAUUGUUGAAAUGUGACUGUGGCAUUCCACCUGAUUAUGAAUUAUCAACUGGAAUAUGAUCAUUCAUAGUUAUAACUAUCCCACCGCAUUUAGACAGAAUGUCAACUACCUCCUACCCAGCCAAAUGCCAACAUCAAAUUAAAAGGCAUACUUACAGCCACUACUGUUCAAGCCCCUAGAUAAACAGAUGGAUCUGGUACUGAGUACGGGAUGUGAAUUGGCAAGGAAGCAAUUCCAGAGGCAUAAUUCCCCUUCACUGAAAAUUCCCUGUGUAUAGAUGUUCAUAUCUUGGGGCAACUGAGAAGAAACAGAUUGUCUGAAAACAACUAGGAGGAAAUCUGAUUCAUAAAAGUUCAGGUUCAGAGCCAGUGGAGAGAAGCAAGUAAAGCUCUUGCCUUUUUUGAGAGACUGUGUAUAAGGGUAAAUUGUCUGAUAGUACUGUUAAGGCAUUGGAUGAAAGCGCUGUUACGUUUAUUUUUACUGAUAAAAUUGAAGAGAUAAGUGAGUAAAUGAAAUUCUGAGAAGCAUUCACAUGUAAUGCUGCUGGAUAAGCGCCAACAAGCUGCAGGAGCGGAGCGCUGCAUUGAAACAGGCAUUUAUCUGUCAGAAUGGCAUCAGUAACAUUCAUCUAGGACAGGUACAGCGUUAAUGUAGGUAUGCAUCAGACUAAUUGGCCAAUUGCACAGUCUUAAAAUACAUUUUUGGAGGCUCAGAGUUGAAAUGCAGUUUUGGAACCACUGUUUAUGCUUAUUGACUGUUAGGGUUAGCAGAUGCAAAACUGAAUGAUCCUGCAGGAGUUCAACAUAGGCCAAAGUUUGGGUUAGUCUGUUUUUGAGAGUAUGUUCCAAGCUGCUUUAUUAAUAUAUGUGUUCAUAUAUUUUUUUAAACCAAAGCUCCACAUUCUCAGUAAAUUCUUUGAGGGUUUUGCUAGACAAGUGUUCCUAAGGAUGAACCACUGGCCCAGAUGAAGUCAGUGAAAGUUUUCCAGUUAUUUUCAUCGGGUCCCAAUAUCACUCUCAUUGUUUAAAAGUUCAUCUUCAUACAGUUUCAGUUAAUUGUAAUAUACUGUACAUCUGCUGGCAUUUUCUGAAAAAUCAUAAUUGUUUAUACACUCAUCUAGUGAACCAGUAGAAAUAAAUAAAAUAGAUAUAUCUAAAUCAGUUCAUCAUUUGAAUAUUUUCUUUAUGCACAUUAACCUUCAUGCAUUUUAAUAUAGAUAAACCUUAAAUCAAAAUCAAGCAAAACCACUGUUAUUAUUCCUUAUUCACAAUAUAUUGUGAAUAUAUAUAUGAACAAAAUAUAAUACAUAAUUUCAUUUC